Esox lucius (northern pike) is the source of this 6076-nucleotide long non-coding RNA. Lineage: Eukaryota; Metazoa; Chordata; Actinopteri; Esociformes; Esocidae. The record is from Ensembl.
CUGAGGUAGCCAUGUCUUUGCCAGGCAGAAGGCGCAUGUGUUCCUGAACGGCGUCGGUCAACUAUAGGGAUUCACCUGUAGGUAUCCUUACUCAGAGGGGGGUACAGAGAACAAACGUGGACUGUGUUCUUCUAAGGAGAGAACUCUGAGUGAUUUGGUCAGGGGACAUGUGGGUUAGUGAGAACGGCAGAGGGCCUGAGUUCUGCUUGGGGAACCGACUGGACAGAAGGCAGCGGAACCCUCCACUCAGGAAUCUCCACCGGCCCAGAUGUCCCAUCAACGCCGCCAGCUGGCCGCGUGGCUCUGGCUCAGUCCUCCGCCAGGAGAAGGCACCUUGUUAUCUGUCCUUUGUCAGUAAGGCCAUCCUGUGGGACCGGGCAUUCAACCAGUGGACAGACCAUACUGCCCCUGAUGGACGUCCCUCCCUGUGUCCUCGUUUCCUGGCCCACAUGAAGGCCUGUCCUGCAGACCUUAGACCCCGAUGUUUCCUAUCCAGCAAGCCCAGGCCACGACCUCCUCAGCAGGGACAGACUGAAGUAAGACAAUCCUUGAGUGCACCGAAGAUGCAUGCAUAUACAGUGUCCAGGAGCAGACCGCAGUACCCCAACACCACCAGGAGGAGGUGCUCCGCUGUUGUUGUUCCCUGUGUUCCAACACCAGUUUCACCCUGUCCCAGCAGAGCCUCCCCUGAGCUCCGUGUCACUGAAUCUAGGCCACCAAGUAUCAAUCCCCACCCUGAUUCGGCCCCACCUCAGAUCCAUCAUCCGGAGGGGGGGACGGAUACCAAGGAUGAGGCACUAGAGAGGGGGGAAGUCCUCUUGGCUACUUCAGUGGCCUUCUGCCCUCCAGGGCCAGACUUAGACCUCAGUUGUGGGCCUGAAGACACUGGUCCCUUGGCCUCUCCGGUACCUAGUUUCUCAGAGGGUUCGCUCUCAGACUUCACUCGUCCCCCAUCCAGCCAGUUCAGCCGGAGCACUGACCUGAGUAGUGGACGAAGCAGUGUCCUAUCUGAGGAUCUGAGUGGCCUGAACUCUCCACUCUCCCGGCUCUGCUCCCCUUCCAUGUCCCUGUCUGCUCUGGCCUCCUGCACCCCACAGGACUCCCCAACACCCCAACCCCUAAACCCAACCCUUCACCCACCUCUCCACCGCCCUGUCUCGGACCAGCUACAGCGCCGCUCAUCUGACUGGACUACCCCGGAGCCCCAGUCGGGCUAUGUCCUUUCACGUUACCCAGAACCAUCCCUGGACCCCAACCGGGACUGUGCUGCCCCAUCUUUUCCCUCAGAGACCUGGCGGUCCAGUCCUAGCCCGCAAUGCGGAAUAACCCUCAGGCCUGGGUCAGGCCUGGUCUCAGGUUCCGCCUCACCUUCUACGACGACUGAGAGGAAAGAAUGGACGUCAAGCCGCUGGUCUGUCCUUCCCCCGAUCUCUCCAGCAAGAGAUGGCAGUGACACAGUGGCUUCUCAAUCGCGCUGUUCUCAGGUCAGCUCAAGCCAGUCCCGUGUGUUUGAUGAACUGGAGGCCGUCGCCCCCCGGACAUCCUUCUGUCCGUCCCUGGACCACCCUCUCAGCUCAGCAGACUGCAGCCCACCUGGCACAGAUAUGUCCCCUGGCCUUGCUGCUCUGACAGUAGGUUGUGACAUGGGGGAGCUGGGCUCCCUUUCCCGGGUGCAGCUCCUGCUCUUGGACCGACCGGAACCCAUGAACCCGCGCUUUCUCUCUGGUCAACACCAGCACUCACUGGGAAAGGAUGUAACAAGAGGCCACACUGCCAAGCUCAGCGCCAGCAGACCCGGACCAUGUGCCACAGGCGUCCUACAGCCCGUCACAGCUGCCAGCUGUGGAAACGGCAGUGCUUCGGAGAGGUGUGCUGCCACAGGCGAAGUCCGUGGAGAGCGUGAACUCACGAUGCCAGGAGACCCGGAGGAUGGCCCCAGGUCUCCGUGGUCGUGGACCGGUGACUCCGGUCCAUCCGACAUCAUCUCCAGGUCUCCCUGCUCACCCUGCCAGUACAGCUGUGAUGGGGAGGAGUCGGACAGCCAAACAAGCCAGGCCUCUACUACCCUGAAUGACAGAAACUCAGGCCCCGGCCCUGACCAGGAAGCCUCAGAGAGGGAGGAGCCUGGUUGCACUCUCCGAGGGGAGCGUGUCGGAACUUCCGCGGGUGGGAGGAGGAGACCUGGGAGGACGGAGCGCAGAAUGAGGCAGAAGGAGCGAAUAAGGGAAGAGAGAAAAACAAAGGUGCUGAACAUCUACUCCAAGCUCCAGGACAGAGGUGCCCUCCAGCCGAGCCACAACCGGGGGCGCUCCAAGUUCGAGGACUUCAACUUCUUGGCAAAGUAUUGCAUUUUCAGCCAGGAGAAACUGACAGAAUACAAAAGGGCUUUUGAAGCGGUGGACAGUGACAGAGAUGGUUACAUCUCCUGCUUGCAAGUGCUGUUGGGACUGAAGAAGAUCAUCCCUUCAGAACUGCUGUCUGAUGAGGAAGAGAUCUACGUCUACAGAAUACUCGAAAUGGUGGAUUUCAGGGUGACAGAUGGACUUACAGACCUGCGGCUCUUUGCGGUGAUUGCCAGUCUGGCACAGAAAAUAGCCACCAUGGAUGUGUUCAUGCGUUCCCUUAUAAGCAAAAUGGACUUUCGUUCUUUGGAGUUGAAGCUUUACAAGGCAAAGCAGCUGUUCCUGUUCCUGCUGGAGGGGCAGUCAGGAGGCUCUGUAGCCCAGCAAGGCUGUAUCAGCGCAGAGCAGCUCCUGGUGGAGCUGAAGGCCGGGGGCGUCCGACCGGAACAAGAGGAAGCCAUCAAACAGGAGCUCCAACACGUCGGCUCCCUGGACCUGCUGGACUUCCUGGCGUACCUGCCCCUCUUCCUCCUCAUCCACAACUCGGUCAUCACCAACCCACUGGAUGACUCCAGCAACCUGUGAUGUCAUCCUUUACCCAGGGUGGACUCAGUUCUAUUGUAUCCUGCCUCUACACGGUGGUUACAAAGUUACACGCUCACUUGCUGAAGAUCGUCCUCCUUUUUUUUUCCCCCUUCUUAUUUUAGUAGUUGGGAACACUUUUAAUGUUGUUGGGUUUUUUUUGUGUGUCGUCUGAGGCGUUUCUUCAAAAGGGCUUUGGAAACUCCCUUUGGAAUAUGUAUUUAGAAAUGACCUACCCCUGUGCUUUGGGCUACAGAAGGUGGACAUUUAGGCUUGAGAAUGGUGCUGUCUAUGGUACUGAAAUAUGUGGGGCUUUUCAAUUGCAGUUCAUGUUGAACAAGUAAUUCACUGAAUACGGCCAUAACAGGUUUAGACUCUAAUAAGGAUGUGUUGCUAAUUGUCUGCCAAAUGUUAAAAUGCGGCCACAAAUUGAAAAUCAUGCAAAACCUGCUGUUGAUAUGAGCGUCUGAUUUAUGCCAGACCCUUGCACUGUUUAUUCCGACGGGAAUAUGAUGGCUCACAACUUCAGCAUCUUGAUGAUGUGCCAUUAUCAAAAUAAAAAAGGGCAAGUGUAGUCUAACCUAAAUCUCCUAUGUGUUUUCAAUCUCUUAGCUUAAGGUGAGAGCGUCCGGAAAGAAAUUGCUGAUUAGAUAUGGCAGUGUGCUCUUUAUUUUCCAUCACGCUUCACAGAGUCGGUGAGGAAAGCAUUAAUGCACUCUGACAGGCGGUUACGGAAUUGUUCGGACCAUUCAUUGCUUUUUUCGGGUGGCUGUUUCAUACAAAUGCUAUAAUGCCUAAUAAGGGUACCAAAGAGCGCCGCAAAUAUUGCCGGUUUUUUCUUCUUCUUGCAAAUAGCAGAUGUUGUUGCUGGUGUAGUUUCAGUGCCUUAACAACACAGUUGACUUACUCUAACAUUUAAAAUCUCUACACAAGUACAAUUUACAAAUGUUCAAAUGGAUCAUCAAAAUGGCAGUCUACCCAUAUAUCAGUCCAAGCAAGAUAGUAAAAAUCUAAAUCUACUUAACAAGGCAGAAAUAAAUGGAAAGGGACUAGCAUUCAGUACCAGUGUCCACAAUAAACGUGAGACAGUAGCGUGGAGCGAAUGGGUGCAUGCUGGUGGUAGAUUAUGCAUGUGUACAUUGAGUGUGGGUGAUUGAGUUAUUGAGAGAGAGGGUGUGUUAGUUGAGUGUGUGUGAUUGUGAAUGCGAUGACUGCGUGUAAAUGAGCUGGUUGUGUAUGUGGCCCUAGGGUGCAGGUUAGAGUGCAGGGCGGAAAGGUACAAUCCCAUUUCCAAAAGAGUUGGGACGCUGCGUAAAAUGUAAAUAACAACAAAAUGCAAUGAUGUGCAAAUCAUUUCACCCCUAUAUUUAAUAGAAAAGAGUACAAAGACAACAUAUCAAAUGUUGAAACUGAGACAUUUUAUUGUUUCUUGAAAAAUAUAUGCCCACUUUUAAAAAGCUGGGACAGAGGCAACAAAACACUAGAAAAGUUGUGUAAUGCUAAAACUAAACCUGGUGGAAUAUCACACAACUAAUUAAGUUAUUUGGCAACAGGUCAGUAACAUGAUUGACUAUUAAAAGAUCAUUCCAGAGAGGAUGGGUCUGUCAGAAGUGAGGGGUUCACCACUCGGAAAGACUGCGCAGGCAAAUAGUGCAACAAUUAAAAAAUAACCUUUCUCAACGUAGCAUUGCAAAGAGUUUGGGGAUCUCAUCACCUACGGUACAUAAUAAUAUAAAAAGAUUCAGACAACCUGGAGAAAUCUUUGUCUGCAAGGGACAAGGCCAAAAACCAAUUUUGGAUGGUCAUGAUCUUCAGGCCCUCAGGCUGCACUGCAUUAAAAACAGACACAAUUCUGUAGUGGAAAUCACUGCAUGGGCUCAGGAACACUUACAAAAUCCAUUGUGUGUGAACACAGUAUGUCGCUGCAUCCACAAAUGCAAGUUAAAACUUCACCAUGCAAAGAAGAAACCAUACAUAAACAACUUCCAGAACCAUUGUUGCUUUCUCUGGGCCCAAACUCAUUUAAGAUGGACUGAGGCAAAGUGGAAAACUCUCCUGUGGUCUGAUGAAUCCAAAUUUGAAAUUACAUUUUUGAAUCAUGGAUGCCGGAAUCAUGGAUGCCUCUGGACUAAAGAGAGGGACCACCCAGCUUAUCAUCAGUGCACAGUUCAAAGCCAGCAACUGUGAUUCUAUGGGGGUGCAUGUGGCAUGGGUGAGUUGCAAUUAUGUGAAGGCACCAUUAAUGCUGAACAAUGUAUGCAGGUUUUGGAGCAACAUAUGCUACCACCCAGAUGAUGUCUUUUUCAGAGGAGGCUUUGCUUAUUUCAGCAAGACAAUGCUAAACCACAUUCUGCACAUAUUACAACAGCAUGGCUCCAUAGUAAAAGGGUCUGGGUGCUAAACUGGCCUGUCUGCAGUCCAGACCCGUCACCCAUUGAAAACAUUUGGCACAUUAUGAAACGAAGAAUAUGACAAAGGAGACCCCGAACUGUUGAGCAGCUGAAAUCCCAUAUCAAGCAAGAAUGGUAAUACAUUGCACUUUUCAAAACUACUGCAAUUUUUCUCCUCAGUUCCCAAACGCUUGCUGAGUAUUGUUAAAAGAGCUGAUGCAACACAGUGGUAAACCUGUUCUGUCCCAACUUUUUUUGAAACAUGUUGCUGGCAUCAAAUUCAAAACAAUAACAUUUCUGUUUAAACAUUUCAUAUGUUUUCUUUGUACUAUUUUCAAUUAAAUAUAGGGAUAAAUGGUUUACACAUCAUUGAAUUUUUUUGCUGCAUUUUAUGCAGCAUCCCAACUGACCAAACUUAACAUUUCUUAUUCUUCUUUCCAUUAAAUGUCAAACAGUAAAAUGUAAGCAAACUUUUAAACUGAAAUUUUUUCUCUAUGGCAAAAUGCAUGUGGCUAUCCAAACCCAGAGCCACUAGGGUACAUCCCAAAUGUUUUAUUUUUGUGCGCCCCACCUUUGGCCUUGAGGCUUUAUUUUUCAACAAGCUCUACUAAAAUGAAUGUAGGCCUACAGAAGCCCUGCCCUGGAAGAUAUUUUUGUGAUUGUAUUUAACCGAAUAAAUCGUUAAUGUAACAUGAGCUAUGCAGUUCAUUUCUGUCAUGGAAUGCUUUAUAGAAUUGUGGUAAAAUCACAGGUUAAUAAGUG